AACAAGGCGUACCUGCGGACCUGCGGAAGGAUCAUUACAGAGUUGCAAGACUCCCUAAACCAUUGUGAACCUACCUUCUACCGUUGCUUCGGCGGGCGGGCCCAGCGCCCCCCCGGCCCCCCGCGGGCGCCCGCCGGAGGAUACCCAAACUCUUGACAUUAGUGGCCUCUCUGAGUAUUCUUUACUGAAUAAGUCAAAACUUUUAGCAACGGAUCU
RNAcentral lists this unclassified non-coding RNA (216 nucleotides) under soil metagenome. RNAcentral's name for it is "partial contains 5.8S ribosomal RNA, internal transcribed spacer 2, and large subunit ribosomal RNA". The record is from RNAcentral.